UGGCUCAGAACGAACGCUGGCGGCGCGCUUAAUACAUGCAAGUCGAGCGAGAACCAGGGCUUCGGCCCUGGGGACAGCGGCGAACGGGUGAGUAACACGUGGGUAAUCAACCCCCGACACCGGGAUAGCCCGGGGAAACCCGGAUUAAUACCGGAUGCCCCGUCCGGCUCUCGAGCCGGCCGGAAAAGGGUAGCUUCGGCCUCCGGUCGGGGACGAGCCCGCGGCGGAUUAGCUUGUUGGUGAGGUAAAGGCUCACCAAGGCGACGAUCCGUAGCUGGUCUGAGAGGACGAUCAGCCACACUGGGACUGAGACACGGCCCAGAGCUCCUACGGGAGGCAGCAGUGGGAUCU
Molecule: ribosomal RNA, 351 nt
Filed under: uncultured bacterium
Lineage: Bacteria
Description: bacterial SSU rRNA
Rfam family: Bacterial small subunit ribosomal RNA
Source: RNAcentral